CGCACAGUGUGGUGGAGGAUGGGCAGGCAAGCAGGUGGGCUAGGGCACGUGGGGCCUUGGAGCCAUGGCAAGGGCUUCUGUGCGUGGCAGAGCGGGGCUCAGAGCUGAACAGGACCUGGCCCUGGUCGUGGGCUCAGAGCCUAACGGGGAAGCAGCUUAAGCAGAGAGUGGAGGUCGGGAGACCUUCGGGGAGUGUGAGGUGGGUCCCACAUGGGAAGACUCCUGAACGCGAGUCCUGAGCGCAGAGCACGGCUUUGACUGGCUAGCGGGAUGGGGUCAGAGUGCGUCAGUGUCGCAAACGAGUAGCUGCCUGUGUGAGCGUGUGGAGGCAGGAGAUUGGGGACUUGGCUGGGACAAAGAGAGGAGCCAGUGUGACGGUCGUUGAGUGGAGCCGAGGGAAGGUGCCGGGGAGGAGGUCUGUCCUGAUGGCAGCGUGAGGUGCAGGUGGGAGCAGAGAAGCUGGCGUCCCCUCGAGGGACAGGGCUGGGAGCUGGGAGCAGGGCUGAGGCGGUUGGCACUGACCCUUCUUAUUUGGACCCAGCUCCGAGGAGAGGCCUGUGGAUGAGUCCUCCCCCUCACCUCUCUCUUCUCUUCUCCCCCUUUGCACUUGAGACUGGCGCUGACAAACAGCAGCUCACGGCGCGCUGGAAGACGCCAGGGUUUCAGACGCCCAAAGGUGCUGGGCCAGCACUGGCAGGAAUAGCACAAGGGCAGGAUCCGUGGGCUCCAGACACUGCCUCCGACGAGCAUCAUCAGAGCAGGAUCCUGCCUCGUGGCCUGGGCUCUCCAUGGCUCGAUGGAAAAUUAAGUCAGAGGCAAAACAGAAGAAAACAAAGCCGGGCAAGGUGGUGUCCAGGUCUGUGCAGCCAGAUGGGCUUGGAUUCAGGUCCUAGUCUCACCUUGGCCUCUUGGAGCCUCAGUUCCCCAUCUGUAAACAGGAUGUGCUCGCUGUGCCAACAGCAGAGGGUGCCUGGGAGGCCUGGCUUGGAGAUGAAGUGUUUACAGCAGACUGCUCAGUACCUGGGCUGGAGUCCUAGCAGCAGGCUGGCUCCCGGGAGGUGCUGGUGGCCAGCGGGCUCUGUGCUGAGAAGUGCUGGGAGGCUCGGAGGAAAGCGUGCUGUCGUGGAUCUGUGACGCGGCCUCUGGCACGGCGGCGGAGAGGGAAGAGGCAGGAUUCGCCCCCUCUGGAGUGGCCUCUGGGCUCUCUGAGCUCUGACAGAGCUGCUUCCUCUUGCCUUCCCCUUGAGGCCAGCAUGCGUCAGUCUGUGUCUGCGAUGCCAGUGUCCGGGAGUGGAUGGGGAGGCUCUCUGGCUCCCCCUCACUGCACACAUAUAGGGGCAGGGACUGGUGCCUGUGGAGGGGGCCUGGGGCCUGGCAGCACCUUAUUUCAGCCUGCCUCCCUGCUCUGCCCAGGUGGGGUACCUGUAGAAAGAGGACGCUGGCCUGUACCUGCCUGGACACCUUGCCCGGCCUGUGGCAGGUGAUCAGUGGUGCUGGGUGGCAGGAAGCCAAGGCAAUUGCUGGGCUCCUGGUGAGUUUCAGGCCAGGCCGUUUUCAGAGAACCUCUGUCUUUGCUGGUUUUGUCAUGGGUGGGGCCCCUCUCUGUGGGGCUGCGGUAGGUACAGCAUCCACGAGGAGGGGACAGGCACAAGCUCCGGGUGUCACAUCAUCUCUGACUUUGGAGCCAUAGAGCGUCUGGUCUGGGAGCCCCUGGAGGUCAUCUUGUCUUCCUUGCUGGGGUGUCCCUGGGCAGACACACAGACAGGGUCCAAAAGGGAUGGGGUCCAUCACGCUGGGGCUCCUGCCCUGGCCUGAGCAUGCCUGGCCAUCCAGGCCCCUGCCCCUUGGUGCUGCAGGGCCUGGGAGAGGCUCCUGGGCACUGUGGUGACCUUCACGCCCGACUUGCCCCUCGAGUUCCUCCUGCCGGUAGCCUGGCAGCUGCCAGUGCCGCACGGUUUGUGAAAUGUCAGUGCUUUAAUAUCAAUUCUGGAGGUUUUAUUGCCUUCCCCCCAUUUUCCGAUGGGAUUUUGAUCCAAUCAAGACCGAUCCACAGCGACGGCAGAUUUGUGUUCCCGUCCGAAGUUGACAAAGGUCACCCUGCCUGGGGAGCGGGGCCGCUGUGGCUGCGCAGCGCGUGACUGCUCUCCCGCCCUGGCUCCGGGUCGGCUGCGCUUUCCCCCAGGAGAGCGGUGUCCGUGGGUGCGGCCGGCGCUGCUCCUCCUGGGCCUGUCACUGGGCCAAGGGCCCUAGGGCUUUAGGCUCGGGCAGUCGCCAGCCACAGAAUACCGUGGUUUUGUCUGCAAAAUGUCUUUGAUGCUUCAGACUCAAAUUAAUUUUUCAUAGUAAUGUUUCAAAAUGUCAUUUUUCCCUUUAAAAAAAAAGCCGUUGAAUGAGAUUCUCUGUUUGGGAGGAGGCCAGAGGUCAGGAGAGUCACAUUGGGCCACGCCAGCCUGUGCCCUCUCCUCCUCUCUCUGGCUGAGCUCCCUGCCUUCCCCAGAGGGUGGAACACCCUCUAGGAGGAACUCGAAAGGGGCAGGAACACCUGCUUGUCCAGGUGGGGGCUGUCAAGGGUGGAGAGUGGGUGCAAGAAUUUUGGUCAAGUUUUGAUCUUGCCCCAUGGCACUUUACAGACAUGAUAUUCCGAGACCCAACCCAGCUUGGCAAGCCUUUAGAGAGUGCCUGCGGUGUGUGUGGCGCCGAGAGGGCUCAGCAGGGUGGAGGGGAGAGGCAAACCUAGACAGAGAGG
This 2746-nucleotide long non-coding RNA is filed under the name Equus asinus (donkey). Its description in RNAcentral is "lncRNA (ENSEASG00005027191.1)". The record is from RNAcentral. Lineage: Eukaryota; Metazoa; Chordata; Mammalia; Perissodactyla; Equidae.